RNA transcript from Xyrauchen texanus (razorback sucker), 7392 nucleotides. It is a transcript of the gene named ubiquitin specific peptidase 54b, with no coding region annotated. The transcript is spliced from 21 exons. The record is from RefSeq and is a predicted model, not a curated record. NCBI's taxonomy places the organism in Eukaryota, Metazoa, Chordata, Actinopteri, Cypriniformes, Catostomidae.
GUUUGAGAUUACAACCUUGUUCAGCUGAGCUUGGAAAGGACUCGAGACUGACAGUAUCUGUGCGCUCGAGCAGUAAGAGCAGCUGGGCUGAGAGGAGAAAUUCUAGUCAGGUGACUCCAUGGUCAAGAGCAGUCAGUGGGGAAGUGGACACAGUGGCGUGAGGACAUUGUCUCGGACCACAGCUACAGACACACACCCACUAUAACACACUCGCACACACUUCAACAGGCACGCAGUUUGUUUUAACCAGGCCAAUCAUUGCAUUUUACCCCGCUUCAUUGUCUCAGUUGUGGGGAACCAUUUAGUCGUGGCAUCCAGACAUUUGUGAGAGAAUCACUGUCCUUUUUACACCUGUUAUCAAGUUAUUGUACAUUCCAUAAUUAGAUAUUUUUUUGUUUAUCAUAUUUUUUUUAGUUUUUUCCUAGAAGCCUAACUGACCAAACUCCCACCCGAGAUCCACACACCCCUCUCUCAUGGGAGUAACAUAGAGACCAGCCUAGCACAGACUCUCUCUCUCUCUCUCUCUCUCUCUCUCUCUCUCUCUCACACACACACACAAACAUCUGCACCUUGUUCAGGAUGCCCUCCUCCUCCAGCGUGAUUAGCUGUGGAGGGAUGUGGCUCUUGUGGUGAUUGGAGGGGGGAGUGGAGUUGAGCUGGCCUCAUGUCGUGGAAGAGAAACUACUUUGCGUCAGGCAGCAGUGGGCUGCAGGGGAUGUUUACCCCUCGCACCAUGACCUCCAUCGCUCCCAGCAAAGGCCUGAGCAAUGAGCCGGGUCAGAACAGCUGCUUCUUGAACAGCGCACUACAGGUCCUUUGGCAUCUUGACAUCUUUCGCAGAAGCUUCAGGCAGCUGAACACUCACAAGUGCAUGGAGGACUCCUGCAUCUUCUGCGCACUGAAGAGCAUCUUUGCCCAGUUCCAGUUCAGCAGUGAGAAGGUGCUCCCAUCAGAUGCCCUGCGCAGCGCUCUGGCCAAAACCUUCCAAGACGAGCAGCGCUUUCAGCUAGGCAUCAUGGACGACGCAGCCGAGUGUUUCGAGAACCUCCUGAUGCGGAUCCACUUUCACAUCUCGGAUGAGACUAAGGAGGACAUCUGCACGGCCAAGCACUGCAUCCCACAUCAGAAAUUUGCCAUGACACUUUUCGAACAGUGUGUUUGUAAUAAUUGUGGAGCCACGUCGGACCCUCUUCCCUUCAUUCAAAUGGUUCACUACAUCUCCACCACCUCUCUCUGUAACCAAGCUGUGCGAAUGCUGGAAUGUAAAGAGAAGCCCACACCCGACAUGUUCGGAGAGCUUAUUCGCAAUGCCAGCACCAUGGGUGACCUGCGAAACUGUCCGAGUAACUGUGGAGAGAUGUUGCGAAUCAGACGUGUUUUGAUGAACUGCCCGGAGAUCAUCAGCAUCGGCCUGGUGUGGGACUCGGACCAUUCUGAUCUGGCUGAAGACGUCAUCCACAGCCUGGGGACGUGCCUGCGGCUGGGUGAUCUGUUCUACCGUGUUACAGAUGAGCGGGCCAAGCAAUCAGAGCUCUACCUUGUGGGCAUGGUGUGCUACUACGGCAAGCAUUACUCCACCUUCUUCUUCCAGACCAAGAUACGCAAGUGGAUGUACUUUGAUGACGCACAAGUGAAGGAGAUCGGUCCCAAGUGGAAGGACGUGGUGUCACGAUGUAUAAAGGGCCACUACCAGCCACUCCUGCUGCUGUACGCUGACCCCCGGGGGACACCCGUGUCAUCACAGGACACACUGGCUGCACAGCUUGACCUGCACCACAGCAGCAAGGCCGGAUAUGACAGCGAAGACUCUGGGAGGGAGCCCUCAAUUUCAAGUGACACACGCACAGACUCUUCCACAGACAGUUACAGCUACAAGCACUCUCGAUCACACCAUGAGUCCAUGGCCUCCCAUUUCUCUUCUGACUCUCAGGGAACUGUGGUGUGUAAUCAGGUCAGCAGAAGUUCCAAGAACAGCAUGGACACUGCAGAGGAGCUGCUUAAAGAGCAGGCCACCAUGCAGAGACUCUCUUCUAGCCAUCUGCAGGACUAUAAAGAGACUGUGAAUACAAUUCACAGCAGACCUCUCUCAUCAUCCUCUAGUUCUGGGGUGGGCGGCUCAGAGGCUGGGGCGCGGGCGAGGGACUGGGAAGACGAGAGCACCAGCAGCGAGUCCAAGUCCAGCUCCAGUGGAGGGCGCUAUAGACCAACAUGGAGACCCAGAAGAGAGGCCCUGAACAUUGACAGCAUCUUUAGCCAGGACAGACAUCGGCCGGGUGGCUAUGUCACACUCGGGCCGUCCCCGCUUCCGGAAGACGUGGUGUCCCCAAUGCAGGGAGAGCUAACUUCAGGGGCCACUGCAGAUGGGUUGAGCACAGCAGCAACAGAGAAAGACAACAUAAUCGAUGACAAGCAGGGUUUAUUGGAGACAGGGGUGGAGCGUCUACCAAUCCCACCCCUUUUAAGAGGCAUAGAGCACCAACCUCGGCUGAUCCAGAGGAUGGAGAGUGGAUACGAAAGCAGCGAGAGAAACAGCAACAGCCCCAUCAGCAUGGACAUGCCACUCAGCGAUAACCCAAUCACCAGUGUUCACAGGGGUAGUGGCAGUAAGAGGCCUGUAACUUCAGGACCCUCCUGGCGCACAGUGCCCAAGUCCAAAAGCAGCAGUGCCAUCCUGCAAGACCUCAAAUCCCCUACAUGGAGCAGUGCUUCACUCAGUUUGGGAGAGGGUCGCAGUGAGCUAGAUGAGUUGCAGGAGGAAGUUGCACGCAGAGCCAGGCAGCAGGAGCUGCAGAGGAAGAAAGAGAAGGAGAGAGAAGUAGCCCAGGGCUUCAACCCCAGACCCAGCAAGUUCAUGGACCUGGAUGAACUUCAGCACCAGGGGAAGGGGGGCAGUUUCGAACGCUGCCUGGCGGAGGCUGACUCUCUGUUAGAGCAGUCGCUGCACCUGGAGCAGGCUGGGGACACAGCUACAGCCUUGGCGCUCUCCCAUCACGCUGUGUCUAAACUAAGAUUUUCCAUGCAUGAGGGCAGUGCUAACACUCAUAGCAGGACUAUGGCUGCUGACACCAAGCUGCAAAAAUGCAUGAGGAGAGCACGGGGCCUACAGCAGCGCAUGCAACAACAACAACAAGAGCAGCAGCAAGAGCCCAGCCAGCCAAAGGGGCUCACCAGUGAACAACUUGGCCCGGUCCAAGUACUGUUGACAGACAAUCAGAAAGAGGUCUGGGAGACCAAUCAGGAUACUGUGCUUGGCCCACCCUCUCCUCAACAUAUGAAAACACCCUCUUCUUGUACAAACUCCCCAUCUCAACCCAACAGCUGCCCAAUAUUGAGCAAUGCUCGGCCUGCCUCUUCUCAGCCACAACCCCAAGAUCCCAAUGAAGGUAGCAACUGGUCAAUGCAGAAUGAGGAUGAAUGGGGUGGCAUCAGAUUAUCAGAUGUUCUCCAGGCAUCAGGUGUUCAUAUCAGGCCCAUUCGCAAGCAUCUGGCCAUAUCUCUGCCUUCUUUGCCUCUUGACUUCUGGGGUGUAUUGGGUGAGGAUGAAGAGGUCUCCAGCCAUCAGCAUCCUCAAAAUUUGAGCUCUCAGUCUUCAUCCCCAAAUCCACCCUUGUGGAAAGGCACUGCAGGUAAUCCAGACUGGAUACACCAAACCAGCAGGACCACGAGUCCACUUCCCAUACCCCCUCAUGCUGAGGAGAAGGACCAGAUGCUCAGACAAGCCCCCAUAUGGCAGCCCCUAUGCACAGCUUCCCAGCCACGCUCACCGGUCCUGUCUCAUUCCAGUUCCAGACUGACCCCUUUUGUUGCUGCUCGUCAUUGGUCCUCCUGGAGCCUAGACCGCCCUGAUGCUGUCGUAACACCCUAUGAGACACCUCCUGACCAGAACCACCGGACCGGAACCCUCUCUCAACUCACACCGGGAGGGCACCUGCCUCUUCACAGUCCCAUGAGCACCAGAAAAAAGAGUGCCCCAAGCACGGAGCUGGAACCCACAGAGGCUGAGGACCAGGAAAUUUCUGAACUAGACUCGCUCUACCAAGCCAGUCUCCAGGCUGGCCCCAGUCCUUGCCGUGCCCUGCAUGGUAACAGCUCACUUGGGAGACUAGUACCUCCUGCUGCACGGAAGUUACACACUGGAGUGGGACGCUCUAGGACCCCCACAGCUGAGCUUGAAAGAACAGCUUAUGGACCACCAGGUUGUUACAGCCCCGCUGGAUACAUUAACAUGCCCCUGUCAGUGGCCAAUCAAGUGCUACAGUCAGGAGAUGAAGACCAGUAUGAUGUGGAUCACCUGCGUCGCAUUGCCCGCAGCCUCAGUGGAACCGUCAUCGGGCGACACCAGAACCGUCUUGCUGUCUCCCAAAGCUUUCUGGGGGGCAGCAUGGUUACAUCAUAUCACAGCUCCAUGCACUAACCUUGUUGCCUUAAAUUUCCAUCGUCUUAAUCAGAACUUCAUCUGCUCCAACCCAGCUGUCUUCAUCUCCUUUCAUUACCUUAGUCCCUUUCUCAGCAGCCUGAGCCUUGUGGAGAGUCCCCAGGAUACGUCUAGAGGUUCUCCAAGUUUCUGGCUGUGUUUGACCGGUGUCAAGCUCUCUCCAGUGGGCAGCACUACAGUCCAGCACUGAGGUGCCACAGAUGUCUUUAAGGACAGCCCAACCGCUGGGACCAUCCUCCAUUGCUCAGUUGGCUUUGGACACAACCAGGGAGAAUAUGGUCCUCCAGCCCUGGAAGUUCUCCACAGAUGCAUCUGUUCUCCGGGAUACCAUUUCUGCAGACCAAAUUCCAUGUUCCCCUUGUUUUUUUUUUGGAGUUCUGGUAGGAGCACAUCUCUUAUCCAGGCCUGAUGCCCACCUCAAUCACCCUGCACUUUGUAUUGUUCCUGGUACAAUUACUUCUAGACUUCCAUUACCUUGUUCUAGUCCUGCACAGCAGUAGAUCUUUCCAUGCAAUAGCUCCCCAAAAUUCACUCCACAGCAUGAAGGGAAAAUAAUACUGAAACAAACUUUUUUAGUAUUGUUUUUCAUUUAUUAUGAGGUGGGUGUACAGCACUGGGAUGGCGUUACACUGUGGGUAUCUCUCUGGGGCUAAGGUGUGUGUGUGUGUGUGUGUGUGUAUUACUUAUCUGCGGUCAGCCCUGCAGCAUGCAAUGAUAGGAGUGUGGGGUUCAGACUCACACCUCCCACAGUGAGCCAUCAAAUCAGGGCACUUAAUGAAAUGCUUUUUACCGAAACAUUCAGUUAUUUGCAGAGGAGAAGCAGACCUCAAUGCUGCACUUAAUGGUAAAUGUGUGUGUAUGUAAGCGUGUGCGCAUGUGUAUGUGAAAAUUCAAUUAGGUUUUUAAUCUGUAAUUUUGUCUCAUUUUCCAGUAGAAAUAUUUAAACAUCUUUAAAACCUAACCCUAACUAGCUCUAACCCUAUUUACUGAAAGGCAUAACUGUGUAAUGUUAAGACUUGUUUACAGAGAAUUUAUCUUAGAUUUUUUUUCCCCCUAAACAAAUUGGCAAUUUGGUUAUUGUUUUAAGCAUAAAUGUAACAAAAAUGAAUGAUGUUUAUGCUAAAAAAUUUGGAUAAAAAACAGUAUGGUGAAAAAAAAAUUUAAUUCAAGGUAUAUUCUCUGAAAAUAAGUCUUAUUAUCUUACGCAAUAAAUUAAUCUUGUUUUAAGCAUGUUUUGAAAUUUUUUACUAGAAAACAAGGCAUAAGUACUGAUUAAGAAAAUGUUUUAUUGCAUGUGUGUGGGAGGAAAGGAGAGGGGCUUAUUAUAACUUCACCCUCUUCAUAUGUUGAAAAAUACACAGACUCUUCCUCCUCGCCUAUCCUGCAGAUGCAAAACCAUACCAGCCAACAUAUCGGAAUUACCAAAACGUCCAACUGUCUAACAUUACUUGGCUGAAUGUUGUCUUCUCCCCAAUUCUCCUGCAAAACAACUUUUGGGUUAAUGUAAUCUAGAUGCUAAGUAUGUAUACCUGUAAAACAUGAAGAGAGAAGAUAUGUUUUAUAUGAUGUUAUCUCUCAGAUCUGGUGCUUUUUCUCGGAGUAGGCAUGUAAAUCUGCGGCCCUGGCAUGGAGAGUGGACAGAACUUUUUUCUUCUAACCUUUUUCUUAUACUUCUCUGAUACGGGCAUUCCCUGUAGCACACAGUUGUUUUGUGUCUCGUGUUACAGGCAAAGACUGUACAUGUUUGAUUGAACGUACACUAAUAAAUUAAGUUAUUGUUUAAAUAAAGCAUACAAACUGAAAUCUUAAGAAAUAUACAGAGGAAUGGAGAUACUACGUAAUGACGUUAUGGAAUGUUAAUCAAUUCUAGUAGUAAUAAUUAUUAUCUGCAUUAAGACAAGUAUAGUACACUUCAGAAGUGUAAAGCUGGAGAAAAACGGCUAUUUUAAUUCCAUUGACAGUUCUCCCAUUUAUACAGGGAGAUAUGCCAAGUUAAGCUUCCUUUUUAUUUUAUAGCUAUGAGUCUGGUACAAGCAUUCUAAAGGCAAUGGGUGGAAAAUCAGGCUUGUAAUAGUAAAGAGAACUCAUCCCAUUUGUUGUUUGCAGAAUCUAUGUUGUUCCUAGAUUUUACUUUAAAGCAAUGCCGCUGAAGAAUGUUUGGCCCUGAUGACUUAGAAACAUUCAAAUAUGGAUAGCAUAAAGCUAACACAAAGCACUACUGGUAUUUUUGGAAAUUGUAAUAAUAAAUGGGGACUUGAGUAAAGAAUGCUUUCGUACUGCAAAUGAAAUAAAUGUGAUAAGAUUUGUUGGAUUUAUUAACGAAGACCUGAUACUGAUCAACAAAUGUUUAAUAUCACAUUAUAGUAUGAUUAAUGCAGUAUUUAACUUUUCCAUUCUAAUCAUAUUGUGCUGAUGUGCAUUAUAUAUAUUUUUUUCAUUAAAAGCCUUUUAUGUGCACUAAAAUGAAACUCGUUAUCAAAGAAAUCACUUUAAAGAGUUGUAGAAUAGAUCAUAUUUACCUUUGUCUUAACCAAAGAUUGGCUCUUACACAAAGAUACUGUAUAUGCUUGUUUUUAUUUUUACUUCAUUGGUCAUUUGUUUUAGUUUUUUCCUUUAAAGGAUGGUUAAGAAUGUAGCAAAGGUGGUGUAUGAGUAUGCUAUGCAAAAUGCUCUCCCUGAACUACCAGCAAAGAGUCAGAUGGGACAAACCCAAAUAUUUUUCUUCUUUUUUUCCUAUGUAAGGAGGAAUUAAAUGAUUUCCUGCUGAAUUGUUGAAUCUUUACUUAUUAAAGUCUGUACAGUUAACAGCAUCUGAAUGCGAGUUGUAGCAAAUGGGAGAUGGAUUUCUCAAAGAUGAAAUGGUAUUUCAGGGGUUUUCCUUUUUGGGAUUCAUUUGUAAAUGCUUGAGGUUGAGUGAACUUGCAUUUUUGCAAUAAAGUUAUUACCGAUGCACUACA